Molecule: ribosomal RNA, 476 nt
Filed under: uncultured organism
Description: partial 16S ribosomal RNA
Rfam family: Bacterial small subunit ribosomal RNA
Source: RNAcentral
ACGUACACUCCUACGGGAGGCAGCAGUGGGGAAUAUUGCACAAUGGGCGCAAGCCUGAUGCAGCCAUGCCGCGUGUAUGAAGAAGGCCUUCGGGUUGUAAAGUACUUUCAGCGGGGAGGAAGGCAAUACGGUUAAUAACCGUGUUGAUUGACGUUACCCGCAGAAGAAGCACCGGCUAACUCCGUGCUAGCAGCCGCGGUAAUACGGAGGGUGCAAGCGUUAAUCGGAAUUACUGGGCGUAAAGCGCACGCAGGCGGUCUGUCAAGUCGGAUGUGAAAUCCCCGGGCUCAACCUGGGAACUGCAUUCGAAACUGGCAGGCUUGAGUCUUGUAGAGGGGGGUAGAAUUCCAGGUGUAGCGGUGAAAUGCGUAGAGAUCUGGAGGAAUACCGGUGGCGAAGGCGGCCCCCUGGACAAAGACUGACGCUCAGGUGCGAAAGCGUGGGGAGCAAACAGGAUUAGAAACCCGGGUAGUCCC